This is an RNA transcript of Helianthus annuus (common sunflower), 1143 nucleotides long. RefSeq lists it as uncharacterized. NCBI's taxonomy places the organism in Eukaryota, Viridiplantae, Streptophyta, Magnoliopsida, Asterales, Asteraceae. The record is from RefSeq and is a predicted model, not a curated record. The transcript is spliced from 4 exons.
AUUAGCGAAGUUGUAUAGAUAUUGAUUGAGACUUGUGUUGAUUUAGGAGAUGAAAUUGAUGAUUAUUGACUUCAGGUCCACAUAUAGAGACUGAGUGUUAGAUGUUGGAACCGGACUUGAAAAAUUUGAAAUAAAAUUCUACUUUUGUCAUGGCAAUCUGAAGAUUUCAAAUCCGUUUCUCAAUUGUCGUUCUUUCAUUCGGCGUUUCGAACAAUUACGAUCAAUUUUUUGAUAUGGUUUAUUUCUAAUCUAAAGUCUGGAUGGUGAAUUGAUAUUCAUUAUAUAGUUCUAAUUAUUUCCAGUCAUUAUAAAGUUCUAACUAUUUCCUGGAAGCACUGCACUGGAUGUUGUUCAUGUUAUCAAAAAGAACCAAGAAAAUGCUUUUGCAAAGCUAGCAACAGUAAUGUGACAUUUUCUAUUGUUGAUAAUGACAACCAUGUUGAACCAGUUAUUGAUGAAGGUAUAUGUGUAUAUAUUGUUUAUUAUUUAUGCAUUUAAUUAGUUCCGAAACUGGUUUUAUCUUGGACUAUAUCCUGGAAUUAUCAAUGUAUUCUACAUAUUUUUAGUGAACUGAACUGGUUAGUACAAACAAUACUUUUAGUCAAUCAUGCCUUUUAUGUUGUGAUCAUAGACUUCAGACCCAAAAACAAGCGGGUAUGUGAUAUAUGUGAGGAAACCAACCAUUUGUAUCUUAUUAUUAUCUAUAAUUUAUUUUUUAUUAUGUAGGGUAUAAAUCAUAUAUUGAAUAUGCUUUGCAGUCAAAUAUGGCAUCAUCACCGGAUUCUAUAUUGCAAUCUUAUCGGCAUGUUACCAACAUCUCUUGCUUCAACUGAUCUCAUAAGCUUAUCUGCCCUCCAAAGCUUCCGACGGAAGAUAGCGUGCAGAAGAUGCUGGACUCUGACGGGUCAUGUAUAUUGCACAACAUCAAAACUGGAAUAUGGAUAGCAGAUUUACAGGUUGUUCGGUGCCCUAUAUGUGACCUGAACACAUGUGAUGGAACAAUGUAGGUACUAGAAGCCAGACACUUGGAGCUCUUCCUCAAUGACGGGUUCGUAAAUGGAAGCUGGGAGUACGAGCUCGUAGGAUCUCAUGACAUCAAAAGACAUGUAAACAAUGCAUUUGGUGGCAUUUUGGAUUCAAAAC